This 403-nucleotide ribosomal RNA is filed under the name uncultured bacterium. RNAcentral describes it as "partial 16S ribosomal RNA". It matches the Rfam family "Bacterial small subunit ribosomal RNA", at positions 30 to 526 of the family's 1533-position model. The record is from RNAcentral.
AUUGAACGCUGGCGGCAGGCCUAACACAUGCAAGUCGAGCGAGCGGCGGACGGGUGAGUAAUGUAUGGGGACUGCCCGAUAGAGGGGGAUAACUACUGGAAACGGUAGCUAAUACCGCAUACUAUCGGAUAACCCAUAUGGGAUUAGCUAGUAGGUGAGGUAAGGGCUCACCUAGGCGACGAUCCCUAGCUGGUCUGAGAGGAUGAUCAGCCACACUAGGCCUGAGACGAGGCCCAGACACCGACGGAGACAGCAGUGGUGAAUAUUGCACAAUGGGCGCACGCCUGAUGCAGACAUGCCGCGUGUAUGAAGAAGGCCCUAGGGUUGUAAAGUACUGUCAGUCGGGAGGCGUUACCGACAGAAGAAGCACCGGCUAACUCCGUGACAGCCGCCGCGGUAAUAC